CCCGCACAAGCGGUGGAGUAUGUGGUUUAAUUCGAUGAUACGCGAGAAACCUUACCAGGGUUUGACAUCAACGAUGAGUCGUGAGAGAUCAUGGCGCCCUUCGGAACUCUUUGCAAGGUGCUGCAUGGUUGUCGUCAGCUCGUGCCGUGAGGUGUCGGGUUAAGUCCCAUAACGAGCGCAACCCUUAUCGUUAGUUGCCAGCGGGUAAUGCCGGGAACUCUAGCGAAACUGCCGGUGUAAACCGAGAGGAAGGUGGGGAUGACGUCAAAUCAGCACGGCCCUUAUGUCCAGGGCUACACACGUGUUACAAUGGCCGGCACAGAGGGCAGCUACCUGGAGACAGGAUGCGAAUCUCGAAAGCCGGUCUCAGUUCGGAUCGGAGUCUGCAACUCGACUCCGUGAAGCUGGAUUCGCUAGUAAUCGCGCAUCAGCCAUGGCGCGGUGAAUACGUUCCCGGGCCUU
Molecule: ribosomal RNA, 462 nt
Filed under: uncultured Sphingobacteriales bacterium
Lineage: Bacteria; Pseudomonadati; Bacteroidota; Sphingobacteriia; Sphingobacteriales
Description: bacterial SSU rRNA
Rfam family: Bacterial small subunit ribosomal RNA
Source: RNAcentral